AAAAUGAAGGGAUAGUAAGAAUAUUAAAACUUCAAAAAAGAGCAGCAAGAUUAAUUCUUGAUGCAGACCCAUUAUCCCCAUCAGCCCCCUUAUUUAAAGAACUUGGAUGGAUGACAGUAGAAAACAGAAUCAAAUACCACAAAUAUUUAUUGCUAUUUAAAUGUAUGCGGAAAGAAGCACCACAGUACCUAUUUCAAAAGUUUCAACUUAUAUCUGUUAAUAAUCCUUAUGCCUUAAGGGGUGUUACUCAAGGUAAUUUGAUAGUUCCAAAGCCAAAAACUGAACUGUUUAAAAAAUCUUUUGCUUAUUCUGGAUCAGUUUUAUGGAACGGACUACCAUAUGAAAUGCGUAAAGUGCAAAACACUUAUUCUUUUAAACAAAUUAUAAAACAAUACUUGAGACAGUCCCAAUAUUCAGUCUGAAAUGAUUGCAACUAUUACU
Molecule: long non-coding RNA, 441 nt
Filed under: Mytilus galloprovincialis (Mediterranean mussel)
Lineage: Eukaryota; Metazoa; Mollusca; Bivalvia; Mytilida; Mytilidae
Source: RNAcentral